RNAcentral lists this long non-coding RNA (656 nucleotides) under Chinchilla lanigera (long-tailed chinchilla). RNAcentral's name for it is "lncRNA (ENSCLAG00000024684.1)". Lineage: Eukaryota; Metazoa; Chordata; Mammalia; Rodentia; Chinchillidae. The record is from RNAcentral.
GCUAAAUGCAUAUUACCACAUCAUUUCAGGGUAAACCAACAAGAGCUCUCAGAGGAGUCCUCGGCAUCAACAGCAACAACAAAAAGGCCAUAGCGCUCUUAAAGAAUGUGCUUCUGAGAAGUUCUUCAUAUUUAUAAUGUUCUGUGACUCAACAGCAUCACACAGAUAAAGCCCAGAGGAAAUGUUGCUGCUAAUAAAUUAUUAAGCUGCUCUCCUUUAAAACAUCAGGACUGGGCAGUACAAAGACUUGCCAUGAUCUGUCAAAUGCAAACGGAUCUGUAAAUCUCAAAAAGAAGAAUUAUUUGAGCUAAGGAACAGCUGGCCCUGAAGAGCCCACGGUCCACCUGGGAUCUCCUUACUGCAGCCUGUCACUCUUAAAGAGUUUAAUGCUAAUACAAUCAAUGAAACAUGAAACCAGACUGAGGGAGGGGGCAAUGGACACCCUCAGAGGAUCCAUCUUUUACUUCACAAAAUGACCCUUGAAGAGUCAUCUACUGAAAAGCAGCUUUGAAACUACAGCUUUGUGCUUGCCCAGAAAGAACUUAAUUGAUACUGGUGACUGUUUAUAAUAUAAUCUACAGUUAAACACUUUUCUCCUUUGUCAUAUUCCUGUUAGAUAGAUACAUUUCAGAUUUCUUUGUGCCAUAUCCACUGAG